RNAcentral lists this ribosomal RNA (253 nucleotides) under uncultured bacterium. Its description in RNAcentral is "partial 16S ribosomal RNA". It matches the Rfam family "Bacterial small subunit ribosomal RNA", at positions 524 to 776 of the family's 1533-position model. The record is from RNAcentral.
UACGUAGGGAGCAAGCGUUGUCCGGAAUCGUUGGGCGUAAAGCGCGCGUAGGUGGCUUCGUAAGUCCGUUGUGAAAGUCAAAGGCUCAACCUUUGAAAGCCGAUGGAUACUGUGAAGCUAGAGUACGGAAGGGGCAACUGGAAUUCUCGGUGUAGCGGUGAAAUGCGUAGAUAUCGAGAGGAACACCUGCGGCGAAGGCGGGUUGCUGGGCCGACACUGACGCUGAUGCGCGAAAGCCAGGGGAGCGAACGGG